This 4524-nucleotide long non-coding RNA is filed under the name Sus scrofa (pig). RNAcentral describes it as "lncRNA (ENSSSCG00040044531.1)". Lineage: Eukaryota; Metazoa; Chordata; Mammalia; Artiodactyla; Suidae. The record is from RNAcentral.
GUCUUUGCUUUUUAGGGCCGAACCUGCGGCAUACAGAAGUUCCCAGGCUAGGGGUCAAAUUGGAGCUGUAGUCACUAGUCUACACCAGAGCCACAGCAACAUGGGAUCUGAGCCACAUCUGCUACCUACACCACAAAUCACAGCCACGCCGGAUCUUUAACCUAUUGAGCAAAGCCAGGGAUCAAACCCGCAUUUUCAUGGAUACUAGUCUGGUUCUUAACCCACUGAGCCACAAUGGGAACUCCAACCACCUUUUUUUUUUUUUUUUUUUUUUUUAAUUCAACCAAGUCUCUGAGUCCACAGAUGGGCAGGGAAACUAGAGCAGAGAUAAUCCCUGUACCCUCCCACCGGACAGACUGCCCACCAGAGACUGGCUCCCCGUAGACCAGGGUGGCAAGGACUGUGUUUGCAGACCAGACAAAAUGCAAUAGCACCCUCAACCCCUUCCGCUCAAAAAUCCGUCAGCCUCUGAUUGGAGGAAGCACCACCUACCUGUCACUACCCUGUGUGUAUUUUCCAUUUAACAGAUCACCACGUAUGCUGCCGUCUAAGAUGAGUAAUUUUCAAAGCGAUAGGGGACACUAUUAACCAUGACUUGAAGACUGCAGGUAUAAACCAAAGCUGCCGCAGGAAACUGAGACCCAUGGAGCACUUUAAAGAUGCAACCCUAGGUGCUGAGUUUAUCAAAGUCACAUUAAAUGCGCAGCCCCUACCCUCUCAAAGGUGACCGACCAGUGCAGAAUAUAAUCAAUCACCCAAAUAAGUAAUAAUGAUCUAACCUGCUUAAGAUGGGUGCUUGGAAGGAAAAGUCCUGGGAGUUAUGACUUGGACUUCACUGGAUCUGGAGGGCAGAUCCCAUGUGCUCUGGAAAGAACACAUGCAAAGGCUCUGAAGUAGGAAGGAAUUCCAGGCAGAAAGCCAAGUCGAGAGGGCUGGAGCAGGAGAGGAGGAAGAGAGGAAGAAAGUGACAAAGCCACAAGGUGGGCACUGGAGAAGGAAAAGAACAUGGGGAGGAUUUUAGGUGAGACCAAGGGCGGGGGGGAAGCCAGGGAGACCAAAGCAUGGGAGUGUCACCAUCAGAUCUGGGACUGGAGCCCUUGGCUCAGCGCUAAGAGUGGACCGACCACAGGCAGGAAAGAGACAGCAGGAGGCCAGCGCAGUCAGGAGGAGGGAGGCUCAGAGCAGGGCAGGGGUUAAAGAAAUUGAGAUGUUAACAUCCGAUGAUGCUGGUGAUGGGGACGAGGCUGCCAAGGUUCAGGCUUAGCCGGAAGAAAAGCGCCAGGAUGGCAGACAGAAAAGCCAGUUCCUUACACAAGCCUAAAUUGCCUAGGAUUGCUUUGUAAUCUUGCUCGCACAGCCUCAAAACACAUACACAUUAAAAUGAAAUGGAAAUGCUCAAGCCACCCUCCCCCAGUUUUCCCUCUCCCACAAAUCAAUGAAUCUUUCAGCAAUCUAAACAAGACAGAUUUGCCUAAACAACUCAGCAUUCCCAGUGUUUGUCAUGACCUCUUCAGUUAUGUCAGCCAGUAACACAACUGAAAAUGAAGUUAUACUGGAGGCAUCAUGGCUCAGUGGAAACAAAUUUGACUAGUAUCCACAAGGAUGAAGGUUCCAUCCAUAGCCUCGCUCAGCGGAUUAAGGAUUCUGCAUUGUGGUGAGCUGUGGUGUAGGUCGCAGAUGCGGCUUGGAUCUCGCAUUGCUGUGGCUCUAGCGUAGGUCAGUGGCUACAGCUCCAAUUAGACCCCUCUCCUGGGAACCUCCAUAUGCCACGGGUGCAGCCCUAGAAAAAAGAAGAAACAAAGAAAGAAAGAAAAUGAAGUUAUUAAGAGUUCUGAGUGAUACAGGAAGUUCCUUUCAUCUUUAGAAAUGAUAUUCAAAUUGCAAAUCCUUUCUAGGAUUGAAAACCUAUAAAAUCACAUCUGGUGGCAUUUCAGCACCUCAAUGGACAGAAUUUAAAAUGAAUGGUCAUCAUCCUUUGAGAGGAUCUGAUAAAUAAACAGAAAGGUAUCAUUUUAGUCCCAAUAGUUAUACCACUGUUAUACUUGUAUUAUACUCAAUAGUUAUACCAUAGUUAUAUCUGUACCACUAAACCUAAAAAUUAGAUUUUCAGAGUUCCCAUCAUGGCUCAGCAUCCAUGAGGACGCAGGUUUGAUCCCUGGCCUUGCUCAGUGGGUUAAGGAUCCGGUGUUGCUGUGAGCUGAGUUACAGGUCGCAGAUGCUGCUCAGAUCCCAUGUUGCUAUGGCUGUGGCGUAGGCCGGCGGCCACAGUUCCAAUUCGACCCCUAGCCUGGGAACCUCCACCUCCAUAUGCCGCCAGUGCAGCCCUAAAAAGACAGAAAAAAAAAAAAAAAGAUUCGAAUUUCAUGAAUAAUACAUCAUAAAUAGAAAAUAGAAUAGUGUCCACCCCCUCCUAUAUUCCCAUGCACCUAAGUAAAAAGGAUCAAUCACAUUAAAAAUUACCUAUGACUUAUACUCCUAUCACAUCCUCUAGUUGGUAAAGCGCUGACUUUUUUCAGUGACCCUGAAAUCACAAGCAGCCAAGUAUGCCCUUGACUGUCAAGAGCUGUCACAAGGAUCCUACAUAAGCCAACAGAAGAACACAGUCUGGGACCAAAGUCUGGAUUAUGAUAUAUCAAGUUUCCCUCAGAGUGCGGUGACCCAGAUUUCAAAUAUCCAAAUACUAGCAACAGACACACACACAGGUGAGCACACUUUUUUUUUUUUUCCUUUUUGAGUAACUGUCUUCUUUGCAAUAAAAUCCAUUCAUUAAAUGUGGUUUAAUUUGCAUGCUCUUAUAAAGUUCAUUAUAAAAGCAGUCCACAAAUGGGGGUGGGGGGGGAAUCUGUGGUGGAUGCUUUGUCCCAAUUUGAAUUUUUUUUAAAACAUGGAGUCAUUACUCUCUUCUCUUCCCAGAUAGACCCCCCAACUCACUCAGAAACAAAAAGGGCCCCGAAAGGAUCCAGCAAACACAAAGGAGGAAUCUGUGGUUCUGGGAGGAAAGAUACUCUCCUGGACCCGCACAACUAUAUCAGAGAGAAGUCUCUACAGGUGAUGAUUAGAACAGAGGUGCCAAGAAUUAAGGGAUGACAAACCUCACUGGAGAGGGUGGGACAAGAGACAAAGAUGCCCAGUUUUUACCGAGGCCUUCUUCCCCAGCCAGGCCUGCUGAGGUUUCAGGGAGAGUGGUCAGAGGACAGGAACACAAGCAGAGAGAACGCCAAGGAAAACAGUAUGGCUCAUCACCCUCAGUCUCCACUGCCAGCCCCCGACUCCUGCACCAGCACAUCUUCCCACAGCAGAGAAGGGGGAGCAAAGUCAUUGACAUUGGACUAAUGGUUCGCAGUGGCCUGAGCACUUGCACAUUUUUUUACUUAUCCGUGCCUUCCAAACAAUUUCUGGAAUGCCUUCCAGGAGCCAGGCCCUGUCAAGACCUGGCAUGAAACUCCACCCAGGUCCCGUCCCACAAGGACCUCAAGGACCAACUGAAUGGGCACCAAAGCCUGCCCACUGUGGCAAGUGCCCCCAAGAAGAGGCAAUUCCGCCCACAUAAUCCCCACACAAGGGAGGGACUGACUGCCUGACGUCUUCAUCUUUUCACCACCAUUGUUUAAAAUGGUUCCGAGGGUGAACUUCGCCAGACAGAAGACAAUCCAUAUGAUGUGACAGCUUGUAAAACUCACAAUAGCCAGCUUGUAUUUUAACCAUGUAAACGCACCUUUGAUUUCUCCUUUAAAAAACAAACAAUUUGCUGUGAAUCAAAGACCGUGAGGUGAAAAACAGGGUGUUAAAAGAAAAAAAAAAAAAAAUAAGACUACAAAACAAAACAGAUUGCCCAGAACCACUCCAACUGAGAAAGGCAGAGUGCCAGGCUGGCACUCUGUAGCUACGAGCAUCCCACAGCCCUCCUCGAUAUCUGCCAUCCAACUGGCCAGAAGCAAAAUACGUAAGCUCCUUCUUUUUAGCACUUUAGUAGAUAUCACUGUAUUUUGAAGGGUUUUUUAAAUAUUUCUGAAAAGGAGCUAUGAGGAAUACAUGCCAAAGGACAGAAUGGCUAAAUGAUGGGGUGAGGUGGGAGAAGACCAAGUUUAGCCAUGAGUUCCCAAAGGUUAUCCUUCUAGAACCAGCUCUUGCAAGAAUGAUUGCAGCAGCAUGAGCCGUGGCUACCCAGGCUCUGGGAGACGUGCUUUGCCCUCUUGGCUUCAUUGGUCCUCUCCAACUUUUUAUGGUAGACACCAAACCUUUGGUAGAAGGUAGACAGAAAUGGCAGACACAUCCCCGAACGCAGAAGUUAAGUGCAAAGGUACAGUCACCUAACAUAAGAACAUUCACACCCUGGAACCAGUUCCCGAGCCCCUAUUCCCACAGGGUGAUGGGGAGAGAACCUGGUGACACCUGCACACACAGCAGAACUGCACGACAGCUGAGGUCCCCUGAACUUCGGGAACCUGAUUACUUCCUAACGGACGUCAUAUACGCCCAUCCCUUUGCUCUAUCGCCAUACGGCUGGGAAACGGAAUGUGGAUG